ACGCGAGGCUGAUUGUGCCGUGGUUAUUAUUAUUUUAGAUUCGAUGCGAUGUUAUGCUUUCAUGAUGAUGAUCAUACAGAAAUCAACUGUCGUUCCGAUUUUUGUAUACGUUUUCGAUUAUGCAUUUGCGAAGUUUUCAAGGUUCAUACUUUUAGAUCCGUGGCCGAGAAAACCCCUAACGGUUUACCGUUCAGGUCCGCGAGCUCGUACGAACUGGUGCCCCGUUUGCUGAGGACUAUGCACGGAAGAUAUUGAGGCCCAAGUUUGGCGUUAUAUUUUUGGCCAGCUGAUGACUGUCGGAAGUUGCGUUUAAACACUCGCUGGCCCGGUUGGAAUGAGGGAAUUGAAUCAAUGCCGGCAGCUAGCAUCGCAGUCCUGCAAUCUUCCCUGGUAUUGCGGAACAAAGCUUCGAAUUUUCUAUGGUCAUCCCACUGCUUGGACAUACAACGGAAAAUACGGACGACAUCAAGUUUUUAACAGCUCUCGUAGAGCGCGUUCCUGGCUGCUGCGCCUCAAAUCAGACACGUCUGUGUGGCGGAUACGCAACUCAUGAUCAAGUUCUUGAUCGGAAAGAUGAGCUGGGUUAAUCGUUAAAUACUGUUCUUUUAGUUGUGAUUCCAUUUUCGCGCAGAGAAUUUCAGAGCUAAACGAUAGAUGAAAAUCCACAAGAACAGCAAAAGAAAAGUUAUAUAGAACUACCAAAAUAAUGAAUGCAAUGUCAAUGAGAUAAAAUCAUGAAUCAAAUUAACACCGAGGGAAUAAAUUAAACACAUAUGAUUAAAAAUAAUAAAUUAAAACAAAUAGAUUAAAAUGUUAGAUAACAGUAGGUACA
Molecule: long non-coding RNA, 832 nt
Organism: Uranotaenia lowii
Lineage: Eukaryota; Metazoa; Arthropoda; Insecta; Diptera; Culicidae
Exons: 3
Source: RefSeq, a predicted model, not a curated record